RNAcentral lists this ribosomal RNA (259 nucleotides) under uncultured bacterium. RNAcentral's name for it is "partial 16S ribosomal RNA". It matches the Rfam family "Bacterial small subunit ribosomal RNA", at positions 524 to 776 of the family's 1533-position model. The record is from RNAcentral.
UACGUAGGGUGCAAGCGUUGUCCGGAAUUAUUGGGCGUAAAGAGCUCGUAGGCGGUUUGUCGCGUCUGCUGUGAAAACCCGAGGCUCAACCUCGGGCCUGCAGUGGGUACGGGCAGACUAGAGUGCGGUAGGGGGAGAUUGGAAUUGCCUGGUGUAGCGGUGGAAUGCGCAGAUAUCAGGAGGAACACCAAUGGCGAAGGGCAGAAUCUCUGGGGCCGUAAACUGACGCUGAGGAGCGAAAGCAUGGGGAGCGAACAGG